CCUACGGGUGGCUGCAGUGAGGAAUAUUGGUCAAUGGAGGCAACUCUGAACCAGCCAUGCCGCGUGCAGGAUGACGGUCCUAUGGAUUGUAAACUGCUUUUGUACAGGAAGAAACCUCUCUACGUGUAGAGACUUGACGGUACUGUAAGAAUAAGGAUCGGCUAACUCCGUGCCAGCAGCCGCGGUAAUACGGAGGAUCCGAGCGUUAUCCGGAAUUAUUGGGUUUAAAGGGUUCGUAGGCGGCUUUGUAAGUCAGUGGUGAAAUUUCCUAGCUU
This 275-nucleotide ribosomal RNA is filed under the name uncultured Myroides sp. RNAcentral describes it as "partial 16S ribosomal RNA". It matches the Rfam family "Bacterial small subunit ribosomal RNA", at positions 338 to 610 of the family's 1533-position model. The record is from RNAcentral. Lineage: Bacteria; Pseudomonadati; Bacteroidota; Flavobacteriia; Flavobacteriales; Flavobacteriaceae.